UGUAGUAUUGUUCAUUCAUUCGGAUAUUGGGCGUAAGAGCUCGUAGGCGGUUUGUCGCGUCUGCCGUGAAAGUCCGGGGCUCAACCCCGGAUCUGCGGUGGGUACGGGCAGACUAGAGUGAUGUAGGGGAGACUGGAAUUCCUGGUGUAGCGGUGAAAUGCGCAGAUAUCAGGAGGAACACCGAUGGCGAAGGCAGGUCUCUGGGCAUUAACUGACGCUGAGGAGCGAAAGCAUGGGGAGCGAACAGGAUUAGAUACCCUGGUAGUCCAUGCCGUAAACGUUGGGCACUAGGUGUGGGGGACAUUCCACGUUUUCCGCGCCGUAGCUAACGCAUUAAGUGCCCCGCCUGGGGAGUACGGCCGCAAGGCUAAAACUCAAAGGAAUUGACGGGGGCCCGCACAAGCGGCGGAGCAUGCGGAUUAAUUCGAUGCAACGCGAAGAACCUUACCAAGGCUUGACAUGAACUGGAAACACCUGGAAACAGGUGCCCCGCUUGCGGCCGGUUUACAGGUGGUGCAUGGUUGUCGUCAGCUCGUGUCGUGAGAUGUUGGGUUAAGUCCCGCAACGAGCGCAACCCUCGUUCUAUGUUGCCAGCACGUAAUGGUGGGGACUCAUAGGAGACUGCCGGGGUCAACUCGGAGGAAGGUGAGGACGACGUCAAAUCAUCAUGCCCCUUAUGUCUUGGGCUUCACGCAUGCUACAAUGGCCGGUACAAUGGUUGCGAUACUGUGAGGUGGAGCUAAUCCCAAAAAGCCGGUCUCAGUUCGGAUUGGGGUCUGCAACUCGACCCCAUGAAGUCGGAGUCGCUAGUAAUCGCAGAUCAGCAACGCUGCGGUGAAUACGUUCCGGGCCUUGUACACACCGCCCGUCAAGUCACGAAGUUGGUAACACCCGAAGCCCAUGUCCCAACCCGCAAGGGAGGGAGUCGUCGAAAGUGGGACUGGCGAUUGGGGACUAAGUCGUAACAAAGUAGCCCACCC
This 980-nucleotide ribosomal RNA is filed under the name Arthrobacter stackebrandtii. Its description in RNAcentral is "bacterial SSU rRNA". It matches the Rfam family "Bacterial small subunit ribosomal RNA". The record is from RNAcentral. Lineage: Bacteria; Bacillati; Actinomycetota; Actinomycetes; Micrococcales; Micrococcaceae.